UUGUCUCAAAGAUUAAGCCAUGCAUGUCUCAGUACAAGCCAAAAUUAAGGUGAAACCGCGAAAGGCUCAUUAAAUCAGUUAUGGUUCCUUAGAUCGUACCCACAUUUACUUGGAUAACUGUGGUAAUUCUAGAGCUAAUACAUGAAAACAGAGCUCCGACCGGAGACGGAAGGAGCGCUUUUAUUAGAUCAAAACCAAUCGGUGGGCGGUGUUCGCACUGUUUAUCGUACAACUUGGUGACUCUGAAUAACUCUUUGGCUGAUCGCACGGUCUUGCACCGGCGACGCAUCUUUCAAAUGUCUGCCUUAUCAACUGUCGAUGGUAGGUUCUGCGCCUACCAUGGUCGUAACGGGUAACGGGGAAUCAGGGUUCGAUUCCGGAGAGGGAGCCUGAGAAACGGCUACCACAUCCAAGGAAGGCAGCAGGCGCGCAAAUUACCCACUCCCGGCACGGGGAGGUAGUGACGAAAAAUAACGAUACGGGACUCAUCCGAGGCCCCGUAAUCGGAAUGAGUACACUCUAAACCCUUUAACGAGGAUCAAUUGGAGGGCAAGUCUGGUGCCAGCAGCCGCGGUAAUUCCAGCUCCAAUAGCGUAUAUUAAAGUUGUUGCGGUUAAAAAGCUCGUAGUCGAAUCUGUGUCCCGCGCCGCCGGUUCAUCGUUCGCGGUGUUAACUGGCGUGCCGCGGGACGUCCUGCCGGUGGGCUUAGCUCGCGAGGGCGGCCCAACUCAAUCCCGCCGCGGUGCUCUUCACUGAGUGUCGAGGUGGGCCGGCACGUUUACUUUGAACAAAUUAGAGUGCUUAAAGCAGGCUAAAAUUUCGCCUGAAUACUAGUGCAUGGAAUAAUGGAAUAGGACCUCGGUUCUAUUUUGUUGGUUUUCGGAACCCCGAGGUAAUGAUUAAUAGGAACGGAUGGGGGCAUUCGUAUUGCGACGUUAGAGGUGAAAUUCUUGGAUCGUCGCAAGACGG
RNAcentral lists this ribosomal RNA (969 nucleotides) under Pseudolycus sp. COL330. Its description in RNAcentral is "SSU rRNA". It matches the Rfam family "Eukaryotic small subunit ribosomal RNA", at positions 32 to 938 of the family's 1831-position model. Lineage: Eukaryota; Metazoa; Arthropoda; Insecta; Coleoptera; Oedemeridae. The record is from RNAcentral.